UAAUGUCUGGGAAACUGCCUGAUGGAGGGGGAUAACUACUGGAAACGGUAGCUAAUGCCGCAUAACGUCGCAAGACCAAAGAGGGGGACCUUCGGGCCUCAUGCCAUCAGAUGUGCCCAGAUGGGAUUAGCUAGUAGGUGGGGUAACGGCUCACCUAGGCGACGAUCCCUAGCUGGUCUGAGAGGAUGACCAGCCACACUGGAACUGAGACACGGUCCAG
RNAcentral lists this ribosomal RNA (220 nucleotides) under uncultured bacterium. RNAcentral's name for it is "partial 16S ribosomal RNA". It matches the Rfam family "Bacterial small subunit ribosomal RNA", at positions 111 to 334 of the family's 1533-position model. The record is from RNAcentral.